AAGGAAAAACUACUAAAAUGUACUCUCAGUGGUCAACCACCCAGAGCACAAGGCAAAGAGAGACAAAACGAAGAGAUUGAGGGUCUUGACGUAAGAGCAAAAGAUGCAAUUAUUGAUUACGCAAUAUUAAUGGGUGAAUCCAAAAUGGAACGUGCCAGAUAGACGAGUCAUAGAGCGUAGCAUGACUCAACAAAUCGGACGGUUAAAGUUGGAGUUAAAACAAGCUCUUGUAAGAGAGCAGGACUAAUUUACUAUUUUUGUUUUAUGUUUAUUUUGAUAAUUUAAAUAAAUAAUUUUUUGUAUGUAAUUAUCGUGCAAUAUUUUACUGCAUUUGCAUGUACAAUAUUUGAAAUAUAUUUUUUUUAAUUGUACGAUAAUUGUUUGUAAAAUAAAAUUUAUAAAAUUGCAUUUAAAA
Monomorium pharaonis (pharaoh ant) is the source of this 415-nucleotide long non-coding RNA. RefSeq lists it as uncharacterized. The record is from RefSeq and is a predicted model, not a curated record. The transcript has 2 exons. NCBI's taxonomy places the organism in Eukaryota, Metazoa, Arthropoda, Insecta, Hymenoptera, Formicidae.